This is a long non-coding RNA of Lynx canadensis (Canada lynx), 664 nucleotides long. RefSeq lists it as uncharacterized. The record is from RefSeq and is a predicted model, not a curated record. NCBI's taxonomy places the organism in Eukaryota, Metazoa, Chordata, Mammalia, Carnivora, Felidae. The transcript has 3 exons.
UCCGGACCACGCCGCGGAGGUGGAUGGGGCGGAGGGAGUUGGUCCCCUCGGCCCGCCCCGCAGGUGGAGGGCUCCGGGGAGGCCUGGAGCCCCUGGCCGCUGAGUAACGGGAUGUAAAGAAAGGGAGAAGAGGCAGGCUCUCCCCACCCCCACCCCAACCCCAACCAAGUCACUGCAGGGUGUGGGGCUCAGACCAGGGGUGCUUGGCAGGCCGGCCCAGCUGAGGUAGGCCAAGGUGAAGGCCAGGGAAGAGGGCACGAGGCUUCCCCGCGGGGCUGCUUCACGUGGUGGCCACAGACCCGCAGACCGGCCAAAACCCAGCUCUGUCCCAGAGUUGGGUCAGCUACCCGGGCGACAGGAGGACUCAGCCUCUGGUCCCAGGCUGCGACAGGAGGGGGCUUUGGGGUUUUCUGUUUGUUUGGUUUGUUUUUCUUUAGGGGGAAAGACAGUCGGCAUGAACUGCCCUGCAGUGCCCAGGUCCCUCUAAACAGCAGCUGCAUCCAGUCCGCUCAUCCCCAGCAGGCCUGGCCCUUCGGAGAGAAGAUGGGACCAGAUGAGCUGACCGUCUUGUGGGCCAGCCGAAGCCUGGGGACUGGCUGUGUCACCAGAGGUGUCAUUUCCCAGCCGUCUGGAGAAGGUGAGUGAACUGGGAGCUCGUGGUGGG